GACGAACGCUGGCGGCGUGCUUAACACAUGCAAGUCACGGGGGCGUCGCAAGAGCAACCGGCGAACGGGUGCGUAACACGUGAGCAACCUGCCGAUCUGAGGGGGGAGUAGCCGGCCCAACGGCCGGGUAAUACCGCAUACGUUCUCGAGGGGGAGUCCUCUUGAGAAGAAACCUCCGGGGCAGAUCGAGGGGCUCGCGGCCUAUCAGCUAGUUGGUGAGGUAACGGCUCACCAAGGCAUCGACGGGUAGCUGGUCUGAGAGGAUGGCCAGCCACAUUGGGGACUGAGAGACGGCCCAGACUCCUACGGGAGGCAGCAGUGGGGAAUAUUGGACAAUGGGCGAAAGCCUGAUCCAGCCAUGCCGCGUGAGUGAUGAAGGCCUUAGGGUUGUAAAGCUCUUUUACCCGGGAAGAUAAUGACUGUACCGGGAGAAUAA
Molecule: ribosomal RNA, 436 nt
Filed under: uncultured bacterium
Lineage: Bacteria
Description: bacterial SSU rRNA
Rfam family: Bacterial small subunit ribosomal RNA
Source: RNAcentral